Molecule: ribosomal RNA, 780 nt
Filed under: Enterococcus faecium
Lineage: Bacteria; Bacillati; Bacillota; Bacilli; Lactobacillales; Enterococcaceae
Description: bacterial SSU rRNA
Rfam family: Bacterial small subunit ribosomal RNA
Source: RNAcentral
UAGAGAAGAACAAGGAUGAGAGUAACUGUUCAUCCCUUGACGGUAUCUAACCAGAAAGCCACGGGUAACUACGUGCCAUGAGCCGCGAUAAUACAUACGUGGCAUGCGUUGGCCGGAUUUAUUGGGCACAAAGCGAGCGCAGGCGGAUUCUUAAGUCUGAUGUGAAAGCCCCCGACUCAACCGGGGAGGAUCAUUGGAAACUGGGAGACUUGAAUGCAGAAGAGGAGAGUGGAAUUCCAUGUGUAGCGGNGAAAUGCGGAGAUAUAUGGAGGAUCACCUACGCUGAAAGCGGCUCUCUGGUCUGUAACUUACGCUGAGGCUGGAAAAGCGUGGGGAGCGAACAGGAUUAGAUACCCUGGUAGUCCACCCCCGUAAACGAUGAGUGUUAAGUGUUGGAGGGUUUCCGCCCUUCAGUGCUGCAGCUAACGCAUUAAGCACUCCGCCUGGGGAGUACGACCGCAAGGUUGAAACUCAAAGGAAUUGACGGGGGGCCCGCACAAGCGGUGGAGGCAUGUGGUUUAAUUCGAAGCAACGCGAAGAACCUUACCAGGUCUUGACAUCCUUUGACCACUAUAGAGAUAGAGCUUCCCCUUCGGGGGCAAAGUGCCAGGUGGUGCAUGGUUGUCGUCAGCUCGUGUCGUGAGAUGUUGGGUUAAGUCCCGCAACGAGCGCAACCCUUAUUGUUAGUUGCCAUCAUUCAGUUGGGCCCUUUAGCAAGACUUCCGGUGACAAACCGGAGGAAGGUGGGGAAGACGUCAAAUCAUCAUGCCCCUUAUGACC